This 666-nucleotide ribosomal RNA is filed under the name uncultured bacterium. Its description in RNAcentral is "bacterial SSU rRNA". It matches the Rfam family "Bacterial small subunit ribosomal RNA", at positions 837 to 1502 of the family's 1533-position model. The record is from RNAcentral.
GCAGUACGUGUGCAGUAACACAAUAAAAUACUUCGCUGGGGGAGUACGGUCGCAAAGACUGAAACUCAAAGGGAAUUGACGGGGACUCGCACAAAGCGGUGGAGCAUGCGGUUUAAUUCGAUGCAACGCGAAAAACCUUACCAGGUCUUGACAUACUGUUGUCAGGAUUAGAGAUAAUCCCUUUCUUCGGAACAACAGAUACAGGUGGUGCAUGGUUGUCGUCAGCUCGUGUCGUGAGAUGUUGGGUUAAGUCCCGCAACGAGCGCAACCCUUAUCAUUAGUUGCUAACAUUCAGUUGAGCACUCUAAUGAGACCGCCGGUGAUAAACCGGAUGAAGGUGGGGAUGACGUCAAAUCAUCAUGCCCCUUAUGACCUGGGCUACACGUGUGCUACAAUGGCUAGUACAAAGAGUCGCAAUGCCGUGAGAUGGAGCUAAUCUCAUAAAGCUAGUCUCAGUUCGGAUUGUAGUCUGCAACUCGACUACAUGAAGUAGGAAUCGCUAGUAAACGUAAAUCAGCAUGUUACGGUGAAUACGUUCUCGAGUCUUGUACACACCGCCCGUCACACCAUGAGAGUUUGUAAUACCCAAAGCCGGUGGCCUACCCGUAAGGAGGGAGCCGUUUAAGGUAGGACAAAUGAUGGGGUGAAGUCCCAACAAGAUAACCU